CACGCCCUAAACCGAAUGCGCGUUAGGUGUAUCGGUGACCACGAGUCACCGAGGUGCCGAAGGGAAACCGUGAAACGUGCCGCCUGGGAAGUACGGUCGCAAGGCUGAAACUUAAAGGAAUUGGCGGGGGAGGCACCACAACGGGUGGAGCCUGCGGUUUAAUUUGGACUCAACGCCGGGAAGCUCACCGGAUAAGACAGCGGAAUGAUUGCCGGGCUGAAGACCCUGCAUGACCAGCUGAGAGGUGGUGCAUGGCGUAGUCGUGU
This 266-nucleotide ribosomal RNA is filed under the name uncultured archaeon. RNAcentral describes it as "partial 16S ribosomal RNA". It matches the Rfam family "Archaeal small subunit ribosomal RNA", at positions 747 to 1009 of the family's 1478-position model. The record is from RNAcentral.